CAGUAGCCGCGGGAAUACGGAGGGAGCUAGCGUUGUUCGGAAUUACUGGGCGUAAAGCGCGCGUAGGCGGUUACUCAAGUCAGAGGUGAAAGCCCGGGGCUCAACCCCGGAACUGCCUUUGAAACUAGGUCACUAGAAUCUUGGAGAGGUCAGUGGAAUUCCGAGUGUAGAGGUGAAAUUCGUAGAUAUUCGGAAGAACACCAGUGGCGAAGGCGACUGACUGGACAAGUAUUGACGCUGAGGUGCGAAAGCGUGGGGAGCAAACAGGAUUAGAUACCCCUGUAGUCCCUGUCUCUUAUAC
Molecule: ribosomal RNA, 301 nt
Filed under: uncultured bacterium
Lineage: Bacteria
Description: partial 16S ribosomal RNA
Rfam family: Bacterial small subunit ribosomal RNA
Source: RNAcentral